This 460-nucleotide ribosomal RNA is filed under the name uncultured bacterium. Its description in RNAcentral is "partial 16S ribosomal RNA". It matches the Rfam family "Bacterial small subunit ribosomal RNA", at positions 338 to 795 of the family's 1533-position model. The record is from RNAcentral.
CCUACGGGAGGCAGCAGUGAGGAAUAUUGGUCAAUGGACGCGAGCCUGAACCAGCCAAGUAGCGUGAAGGAUGACGGCCCUAUGGGUUGUAAACUUCUUUUAUCUGGGAAUAAAGUGCGCCACGUGUGCCGCUUUGCAUGUACCCUACGAAUAAGGAUCGGCUAACUCCGUGCCAGCAGCCGCGGUAAUACGGAGGGUGCGGGCGUUAUCCGGAAUUAUUGGGUUUAAAGGGUGUGCAGGCGGCACGUUAAGGCAGGUGGUAAAUGCUGGGGCUUAACCCGGGGACUGCAGUUGAAACUGGGAGGCUUGAGUGAGGGAGAGGUAGGCGGAAUGCGUGGUGUAGCGGUGAAAUGCAUAGAUAUUACGAAGAACUCCGAUUGCGAAGGCAGCAUACCGGAGCGUAACUGACGCUGAGGCACGAAAGCGUGGGGAUCGAACAGGAUUAGAUACCCGGGUAGUC